UGUUGGCUUAGAAGCAGCCAUCAUUUAAAGAAAGCGUAAUAGCUCACUGGUCGAGUCGGCCUGCGCGGAAGAUGUAACGGGGCUAAACCAUGCACCGAAGCUGCGGCAGCGACGCUGAUGCGUUGUUAGGUAGGGGAGCGUUCUGUAAGCCUGCGAAGGUGACCUGUGAGGGUUGCUGGAGGUAUCAGAAGUGCGAAUGCUGACAUAAGUAACGAUAAAGCGGGUGAAAAGCCCGCUCGCCGGAAGACCAAGGGUUCCUGUCCAACGUUAAUCGGGGCAGGGUGAGUCG
This 289-nucleotide ribosomal RNA is filed under the name Salmonella enterica subsp. enterica serovar 1,4,[5],12:i:-. RNAcentral describes it as "partial 23S ribosomal RNA". It matches the Rfam family "Bacterial large subunit ribosomal RNA", at positions 1099 to 1386 of the family's 2925-position model. Lineage: Bacteria; Pseudomonadati; Pseudomonadota; Gammaproteobacteria; Enterobacterales; Enterobacteriaceae. The record is from RNAcentral.